This 275-nucleotide ribosomal RNA is filed under the name uncultured prokaryote. Its description in RNAcentral is "partial 16S ribosomal RNA". It matches the Rfam family "Bacterial small subunit ribosomal RNA", at positions 524 to 798 of the family's 1533-position model. The record is from RNAcentral.
UACGUAGGUGGCGAGCGUUGUCCGGAAUUACUGGGUGUAAAGGGCGUGUAGGCGGGGCGUCAAGUCAGGUGUGAAAUUCCGAGGCUUAACUUCGGGUGUGCAUCUGAAACUGAUGUUCUUGAGUGUCGGAGAGGAAAGUGGAAUUCCCAGUGUAGCGGUGAAAUGCGUAGAGAUUGGGAGGAACACCAGUGGCGAAGGCGGCUUUCUGGACGAUAACUGACGCUGAGGCGCGAAAGCGUGGGUAGCAAACAGGAUUAGAUACCCCGGUAGUCCCU